CAGCCGCCGCGGGAAGACAGAGGAUGCAAGCGUUAUCCGGAAUGAUUGGGCGUAAAGCGUCUGUAGGUGGCUUUUCAAGUCCGCCGUCAAAUCCCAGGGCUCAACCCUGGACAGGCGGUGGAAACUACCAAGCUGGAGUACGGUAGGGGCAGAGGGAAUUUCCAGUGGAGCGGUGAAAUGCGUUGAGAUCGAAAAGAACACCAACAGCGAAAGCACUCUGCUGGGACGACACUGACACUAAGAGACGAAAGCUAGGGGAGCAAAUGGGAUUAGAUACCCCCGUAGUCCCUGUCUCUUAUAC
RNAcentral lists this ribosomal RNA (301 nucleotides) under uncultured bacterium. RNAcentral describes it as "partial 16S ribosomal RNA". It matches the Rfam family "Bacterial small subunit ribosomal RNA", at positions 509 to 807 of the family's 1533-position model. The record is from RNAcentral.